UAAUAAGUGUUUUAUGGCACUUUUUAAAUCCAUAUCCACCCUGUGUGCAAUGUCGGUCGAUCUUCUUUUUUUGAGGAUCGACCAAACAUCAACCUUUAUUUUUUAACCCUUUGUCUGAAAAAUAUUAUGAAUAAACAAUUCAAAAUA
This 147-nucleotide unclassified non-coding RNA is filed under the name soil metagenome. RNAcentral describes it as "partial internal transcribed spacer 1". The record is from RNAcentral.